UGGCAGUGGCCCUAUUUGUCGGUUUCUUCGCUACAUUUUCAUCCUUCAGAAUUUAGCGAAUGCAAAUCUUCUAUCUCCUCACCAUUUAAAAUAGAAAGUCUCUUUAGCGGAAGUGUAUUCCUAUUACUGACCUUAUAGUGACAUUAAAUCCCAAGGAGGAGUCUCCGACCAAGGGGAAAGAGGACCAGAAUGCCCUGCUUCAGCCGCCAGGCGGCUGCUGGAAAUGCCGCGGGAGGAACUAUCCAGCAAUUGCCUGUGUUCUUCACUUUCCUUUUCGCGUGAGGAUGUGGCCAGACCAGUUCGGAGUGCAGGACUCCUCCUCAUCUGCAUAGAGAGAAGUAGCGUCAGGAUGCCGGUGGCAACGGCAGAGCGCUAGUCCCUCCCCUGGCUGUGGUCUUCCUUGCGCGCUGGAUGGAGCACCGGGCCGGGUGCUGUUGAGAAUGCCUCUGCGCUCAGGGAGAGCUUGAGCAUCUUGGCUGAAGGGCUCUGCUUAGAGACGGCUCUGGGAAAUGGUUCCUCCCCCUGGAUGUAGCCACAGUGUGGUAAAUUCCAUCUGAAAAAUAAAAGCAGAGCUCUUUGCUGAGUCAUAGAAGCCUCAGAGCUGAUUUGCAGUAGCCGGGCUGAGUCUGGACAACCUGAGAAAGAUCCACACAGUCAAGAUGAGAAAUGGGUGAGAAGAGCAGAAACUAUGAGGGUUUGAGAACGGAGACCCUAAAGCAGAGUGUGCUGGCUCCCAAUACUGUUCAGACAACCUUGGGAGACCUCACACUUUGGAGACCUAUCUGAAAACAUCUAAGCAGCUGUGGUGUGCCAAGGAGGGAGUUCUAAGGAAGGAAGAAAGAGUUAUUUUUCAGCUACCCAUAUUUUGGCACUAUCUACUCUUAGGUAAGUACAAAUGUCCCGUGGAAAUUCUCAGAAGGUUGAUCUUGACCAUGGGCUGUUAUGAACUGGGAUUUUCCUUUAAAAUAGGCCUCACAUCUUAUUUCUCUUUACCUCUUCAGAGGAGGUAUGAAAGUGAUAUUAAUCUUGUUGAAAACACCUCUACUUAGUAGAGGGAUUGAAUAGUCCAGGACCCUAGGCAC
This 1082-nucleotide long non-coding RNA is filed under the name Fukomys damarensis (Damara mole-rat). RNAcentral describes it as "lncRNA (ENSFDAG00000029205.1)". The record is from RNAcentral. Lineage: Eukaryota; Metazoa; Chordata; Mammalia; Rodentia; Bathyergidae.